AUCCGUCGACUUUAGAAAUCGUGA
This 24-nucleotide transfer RNA is filed under the name Pyrus communis (pear). RNAcentral describes it as "partial tRNA-Leu". Lineage: Eukaryota; Viridiplantae; Streptophyta; Magnoliopsida; Rosales; Rosaceae. The record is from RNAcentral.